Long non-coding RNA from Lolium perenne, 991 nucleotides. RefSeq lists it as uncharacterized. NCBI's taxonomy places the organism in Eukaryota, Viridiplantae, Streptophyta, Magnoliopsida, Poales, Poaceae. The record is from RefSeq and is a predicted model, not a curated record.
CCGUUUGUCAUCUCCAACCUCCAGCCUGGGAGUCGUCCUCGCAUAAGCGAACAGAACCGAACUCUCCCGAUUCCUUCGCUAAAUCUGCUCCGUUUCUAGCCCCCUUUUGCACGAAAAUUGUCCUAUAAAUACCCCAUAUUCUCCUCUGUUUUUGCCACUAAAAACCCUAGAUUUCGAGCCGCCAGGCCGCCAAAAUUUCUCGCUGGAGAUCGCCAUUGCCAGCCGCACAUCAAGCUCGAGCUUGAGAGCGACGGAACGAGCUGAAUCCGUCGCCGGAGUUCCGCCGAAGCAUCGCCGGAGUUGAGCACGAUCAGCCACUCAUCGCUGUCCUUUGGGGAAGUAAACGCGGUCUCCAACGAUACAGCCGGGACCACCGUGACGCACUGCUUCUCGUCGACCAUCCCGCGGUAACUGCAGACCAUCGCCCUCGAAACAUUAGAGGCUGUUGUCAUCGUCUUCUACAGCCGCCGGAUCACCGGUGAUCAUCGGAGCAGCCACCGGCACGACGACCUACGCCGGUGCCAACUUGGUGAGAGCUAUACCCGGUAACUUUGAGGACAGAGUGAAAUUCCAUAUUUAGGUCGCGAGCUUCCACUCAGCAGGUUCGCCUGUGGCGUGAUGGAGCUCUUUGAAUUUAUUUGUUUUCCGCUUUGAACUGUGUUAUUUGAGCUAGCCGUGAUCUAUGCAAGUUGUAAUAAAUAUAUUAUGGAUCAUACGUUGUAAUAAGUGACGCAUUAUUCUGUUUAUUCAUCGAACUGUGUGUGCUAGCGAUUGAUCCAUGGGACUAGCACUGUAUGCACAGAGAUCCAAUCCUUACGGGGUUGAAUCGCUUCAAUAUUGGUGUAGCCCGAUUGCAAGAUCUAGGUCAGAAUUAUAAUUUCUGCCGAGACUAUGUUAAGAUUUUUGACAUGAGAUUUUCUACUAGCUCAGAACUCGACUUGGGUUGUAUAAUCAGGAGAACCUCUUAAUUUGAUUUAUUGCAACUGAUUCA